AGAGUUUGAUCAUGGCUCAGGAUGAACGCUAGCGGCAGGCUUAAUACAUGCAAGUCGAGGGGCAGCAUGGUGUAGCAAUACACUGAUGGCGACCGGCAAACGGGUGCGGAACACGUACGCAACUUACCCAAAACUGGGGAAUAGCCCGGGGAAACCCGGAUUAAUACCUCGUAAUAUAAUUGAAUGGCAUCAUUUGAUUAUUAUAGCUCCGGCGGUUUUGGAUGGGCGUGCGCCUGAUUAGGUAGUUGGCGGGGUAACGGCCCACCAAGCCUACGAUCAGUAACUGGUGUGAGAGCACGACCAGUCACACGGGCACUGAGACACGGGCCCGACUCCUACGGGAGGCAGCAGUAAGGAAUAUUGGUCAAUGGACGCAAGUCUGAACCAGCCAUGCCGCGUGAAGGAUGAAGGUCCUCUGGAUUGUAAACUUCUUUUAUAUGGGAAGAAAUCCAUCUUUUCUUGGGUGGUUGACGGUACCAUAGGAAUAAGCACCGGCUAACUCCGUGCCAGCAGCCGCGGUAAUAC
Molecule: ribosomal RNA, 525 nt
Filed under: uncultured bacterium
Lineage: Bacteria
Description: bacterial SSU rRNA
Rfam family: Bacterial small subunit ribosomal RNA
Source: RNAcentral